This 482-nucleotide ribosomal RNA is filed under the name uncultured bacterium. RNAcentral's name for it is "partial 16S ribosomal RNA". It matches the Rfam family "Bacterial small subunit ribosomal RNA", at positions 30 to 507 of the family's 1533-position model. The record is from RNAcentral.
AUUGAACGCUGGCGGCAUGCCUUACACAUGCAAGUCGAACGGUAACAGGUCUUCGGAUGCUGACGAGUGGCGAACGGGUGAGUAAUACAUCGGAACGUGCCCGAUCGUGGGGGAUAACGAAGCGAAAGCUUUGCUAAUACCGCAUAAGAUCUACGGAUGAAAGCAGGGGACCGCAAGGCCUUGCGCGAACGGAGCGGCCGAUGGCAGAUUAGGUAGUUGGUGGGAUAAAAGCUUACCAAGCCGACGAUCUGUAGCUGGUCUGAGAGGACGACCAGCCACACUGGGACUGAGACACGGCCCAGACUCCUAAGGGAGGCAGCAGUGGGGAAUUUUGGACAAUGGGCGAAAGCCUGAUCCAGCCAUGCCGCGUGCAGGAUGAAGGCCUUCGGGUUGUAAACUGCUUUUGUACGGAACGAAAAGACUCUGGUUAAUACCUGGGGUCCAUGACGGUACCGUAAGAAUAAGCACCGGCUAACUACGUG